GUUAUUCAGCAAAAAUACUAACCCAAAAUUUCUCAAAAUCUGCCUUAAGCCCAAUUGGACAUUGACCCAUCCCAACAUUAAACCCCUAAUAUUAUCUCACCUCUCACCCAAACUAACAUCUCAUUUCUCCCAUUUGCAAACGCUGAUAUCCAACUGACCACCAGAUAAUGGCAAAUUCUGGUGUUCUUAGCCUUUCCCACCCAUCUUUUCUCUGUUUAUCUUCCCCAUCACUGCACUCAUCUCUCUCACAGCUUUUGUCUUCUCAAAACAAAGCUACAAAGCCCUUAAUAUCCACUGCCACUUUUGGAAAAGGUGGCAGAAUUAAAGAAUCAUCGAAUAUGAGUCUGUUAUACCUCAAAAUCGAUGGUCCAAGUCUUCCACCUUGAAUUAGCGCCUUUUUCUCUCAUCACAUCAACCUGAAAAAGGUGAACGAUUAAUAAUCAACCUUUCUCUUCUUCCAAUUUGGCCCCUCUAUUUCUCUUUGAGAUUUGGGCUUUCCAAGAAUUCAAAAUUUGAAUUCUUGAAGCCUCUAUUGAUAACCGAUGUAGCACCCUCAAAUUUGGCUAUAAAAGGAGACUUUGGUCUCCCAUUUAUGAUGAGAAAAAAAAUCAACAAGAACAACCAAGAAUUAGCAUCUAUCAAAUUAGCAAAAGCAUCACCAAAUUGGUAUUGCUCCCUAUUUUCUUGUUCCCUUUCCGAGUUUGAAGUCCGAGUUUGAUUUUGGAUCUCCGACGAGGAAGCCUUAGAUCGUUGCCCCAAAAAAGCCUGAUACUUGAAGGGUCAGCUACCACAUUGGUAUGGUACGUGCACUGAGCUCGCCCUAUAUAGGAUCAGUUGUGGUUUAUCAUUUGAUGCAGCUGGUAUUCACAACAGUUUCAACUCUUUCCAUUCAGUGGGAGUUGUGUCCUUGUUUGUCGUUAUUAUUUUUGAGCUCUUGUACUUGUCUAGGCUAGGGCUUGGGUAGUGUUUAUUUCUGAAGAUGUAAAGAAUGUCGUCAAUGAAUUUAGACUUGUUUAACUUUAUUGUAUUAUUGCCUAAAAGAAUUAUGUUUAUUUCUGCAUAUAUGGAUGGGUAGUACGGGCUCUCUUAUCUAGUUAGAUUGGAAUAGGUGCCCGCACGAUCCAAUGAUUUAGAUUGUAACAAAAAGUCUACAUGAUAGUUCCUCAAGGAAUCCGUGACAUUGGUGCUCAAUAAAUAAAGUGAAAAAUGAUCAAGUC
Capsicum annuum is the source of this 1217-nucleotide long non-coding RNA. RefSeq lists it as uncharacterized. The transcript has 3 exons. The record is from RefSeq and is a predicted model, not a curated record. NCBI's taxonomy places the organism in Eukaryota, Viridiplantae, Streptophyta, Magnoliopsida, Solanales, Solanaceae.